GCUGGUUCUCCGCGAAAUCUAUUUAGGUAGAGCGUCGAUCGAAUACUCUUGGGGGUAGAGCACUGACUGGGCUAGGGGUCCUCACCGGAUUACCAAACCUUAUCAAACUCCGAAUACCAAGAAGUACUAAUCGGCAGACACACGGCGGGUGCUAACGUCCGUCGUGGAGAGGGAAACAACCCUGACCACCAAUUAAGGUCCCCAAAUAAUGGCUAAGUGUGAAAGGAUGUGGGAUUGCUUUGACAAUGAGGAGGUUGGCUUAGAAGCAGCCACCCUUUAAAGAAAGCGUAAUAGCUCACUGAUCGAGUCGUCCUGCGCGGAAGAUGUAACGGGGCUAAGCCAGUCACCGAAGCUGCGGAUAUCCUUUAUUGGAUAUGGUAGGAGAGCGUUCUGUAAGCCUGUGAAGGUGAGUUGAGAAGCUUGCUGGAGGUAUCAGAAGUGCGAAUGCUGACAUGAGUAGCGUUAAAGGGGGUGAAAAGCCCCCUCGCCGAAAGCGCAAGGUUUCCUACGCAACGUUCAUCGGCGUAGGGUGAGUCGGCCCCUAAGGCGAGGCAGAGAUGCGUAGCUGAUGGGAAGCAGGUUAAUAUUCCUGCACCGUCGUAUGAUGCGAUGGGGGGACGGAUCGCGGAAGGUUGUCUG
This 639-nucleotide ribosomal RNA is filed under the name Asterionellopsis glacialis. RNAcentral's name for it is "partial Bacterial large subunit ribosomal RNA". It matches the Rfam family "Bacterial large subunit ribosomal RNA", at positions 848 to 1493 of the family's 2925-position model. The record is from RNAcentral. Lineage: Eukaryota; Bacillariophyta; Plagiogrammaphyceae; Rhaphoneidales; Asterionellopsidaceae.